UUUUUUUCAAGUAGAAAUAAGUUGUUUGUCUUUCAAAUUUCAUAGCAAUCUUAAUUUUGGUUUCAAUUUCAUUUUAGUUUCUAAGGUUUCAAUUUCAUAGUUUCCAUGGUUUUUUUAUUCAGAUUCCGAGAAGGCAACAUUGGUAGGCAAGAGGGGGAAAUACCAAUAAAAGCGCAAGAUAUCAAUAAAAGCAAAUGGUAACAUAAAUCAAACUCAUAUCUCAAAAAAAAAAAAAACAUAAAUCAAACUCAUAUAGGCAGUCUUAUAUGCCACAAGUCUGAUCAAAUAUUCAAUUUAUGCUAUCGCCUAUUUAGUUUCCUUUUGGAUGAUAGAUGUCACGCCCCGGGACCGAUGCCAAUUUGGCCCGACCCGAGCACGUCAAACAGACGCCGAACGGACAGAGUUUCCCCUAUCCGCCCAAGGCUCAUCACACGUACCUUUUCAUCAAUAGAGAAAAGCACUAGCGGAAACAUACACAAACGGCUUACACGAGGGUAAGCAAUAGCCAUAAGUGAAAGAAAAAGGAAACUAAACAUUCACAAGUAAUAUGAUUCAUUUUAGAUCAUAUACAUUGCAUCCAUUUCUUACAUUUAAGACUCUUUACAUUUCAUUACAUAAUUUCAUCAUUUCUUUCUUACAUCACAUUUACCUCAAAAUAAGCUUUACAUUCUUUUCUUGCUUUGCUAAAUCAUCAAAUACAAAAGAUGAUCAUAAGGUACUUUACUACAAAAUGAAACCCAACAUCGGUGGCCUCUGUCUAAGGCGCGAUACCUUUACCUCGGUCGCUCGCCGGCUCGCUCGGUCCCGGCUCUGUGGAAAUAGUGGGGUGAGAACUACAACAAAGUUCCCAGUGGGUUCGGCCUCAACAUCACCGACUUUCCCACUAGGACUAACUCAGGCAUAAUAGAAAGAAUAAGCUGAAAUAUGGUAACCAAUCUAUAACAUGAUACUAAUAUGCCUGAACAAAAGCAGGAAGUAUGCUCAACAUUAAACAUAUGCAGAUUAUGCAAGUUCUUUCAUUCUUUAACUUUACUCUUUGUUCUUUGCUCUUUGUUCUUUGUUCUUUGCUCUUUAAUCAUUAAGGCUAACCCGGGGGUUUCGCCACAUUAACUUGCUUCACGUUAAGUCCAUCAUCGCAGGUACUCACCAGCUAGGACCGUCCUUACGGGUCUACUCCAACCCGGAUGCAUAACUCCGGAGCGCAUCGCCCGAGGGGGAGCGACCGCCCUCGAGCACGGAACUCAAUAGCAAGUAUGAUCAUAUCCUUAACUCAAAGGAUUAUAAGUUCAAUCUUGACUUUACACUAGCUCUAGUGUUCUUUACGUCACUUUAUGUUGCAAACUCAUGCAAUCACAUUCCGUACAUUCUCAUUACUCUUGCUAACUCUAGCAAUCAUUGUUCUUUGCAUUUCUUUUACUUUUGCUAACUCUAGCAUUCUUGUUCUUAUUGCCCACUUUACUCGUCGUCAUUUUCAUCAUUCUUUACAUCACUUUAAUUCUUUACAUCACACUAACUCUAGUGUCAUUUCACAUUAGCUUUAUCGAAUGCCACUCGAUCUAUGUCAUAUGUGCCACUCUGUUCUUUUGCUCACUUUGGGUGCUCGCUUUUCUCUCAUGCAUACAUAUAGGGUUUUAACUUUCAUAAGGUUCUCAACCAUCACAUUAUGCAAGUUGUGCUCACAAUCAUGCAAUCAUCACAUUUCAUC
RNAcentral lists this long non-coding RNA (1705 nucleotides) under Ananas comosus (pineapple). RNAcentral's name for it is "long non-coding RNA (ACOM_LNC031613)". Lineage: Eukaryota; Viridiplantae; Streptophyta; Magnoliopsida; Poales; Bromeliaceae. The record is from RNAcentral.